UGAUGAUCUUUUGAGUAGGAAUCUCAUUGAGCUUCAGUCAUGCGUUGCUUUGAAAUUACUUUUGUCUCCCACUGAUU
RNAcentral lists this small nucleolar RNA (77 nucleotides) under Drosophila ananassae. RNAcentral describes it as "snoRNA:GF26008". It matches the Rfam family "Small nucleolar RNA Me28S-Am2634", at positions 13 to 89 of the family's 97-position model. Rfam says of the family: Me28S-Am2634 is a member of the C/D class of snoRNA which contain the C (UGAUGA) and D (CUGA) box motifs. This family directs 2'-O-methylation of 28S A-2634. The record is from RNAcentral. Lineage: Eukaryota; Metazoa; Arthropoda; Insecta; Diptera; Drosophilidae.